UUAUUUUAGUCAGUUUUAUUAGACACUGAAAUGAUAUACGCAUAAAAAAGGGAAAUGAUAUACUUGUUUCGUUAUAUACAUUGAAAAGGAAAUGCCCUUUUUUUCCUCUAUAUUUCUCUCCAAAAUGUAAAUUUAAUUUCACUUCGCCAACUCUUCUUUUUCCUUCGCUGUAUCCAAAUUAGAAAGUAAGCGAAACAAAUCUUUCUCAAGACAUUUUGAUUUCUAAAGGAGUACAAAUGUAGAAACAAGCAAACAAUGUGAGAAGUUCCAGUGCCAGCCCUGGACGAAAUUGACCAUUUAAAUAACAUAUCAGAAUGAUCAUUCCAGCACCUAAUUGCAGAGAAAUAAUCCUUACUUUCAACUCUAACAAUCAUCACCAAUCACCACCUCAAAACCAUUCAAACCUGAAAAUUGACAAAAUCAUAAUUAUAUUUGCUAAACGAAACAUUAAACACAGUGUAAAAUUCAUGUCAAAGGAUGGAUCAGAAUUCUGGCUUGGUUCUCAAUAGAGAGAAAGAUCGCUCAGUUUGUUCAGCUUCGAUCAUUUGGGGAAAUAUUCAUCAAUUCCAUCUCUUCAAUAACCAAACAUCCAAACAUCACACACGCACUGACGCACAAUCUUAUCACAAGCAAGAAUGCACUGAUUUGGCAACGCAAGCAAACUUUGGAAGAAAUUAUAUGCAAUGACUGAACUGGUAAAGAUUGCAAAACAAUAAAGAAGCCAGCAAUAAAUACAGUACUACCUAUGAUAGGUUUGAGCUGGUAAAGAAAACACAUCACAAUGGUACUGAAGGAUCUGGUAUGUUAUAGAAGCAGAUGAAUACGGGCAUCAGGUCUCAAAGGUUACAUAGCAUCAAUGAAAUAAUUCAGACGCAAAUUACCCAUUAACAAUACA
This 895-nucleotide unclassified non-coding RNA is filed under the name Hevea brasiliensis (rubber tree). The record is from RNAcentral. Lineage: Eukaryota; Viridiplantae; Streptophyta; Magnoliopsida; Malpighiales; Euphorbiaceae.